RNAcentral lists this small RNA (124 nucleotides) under Marmota monax (woodchuck). Lineage: Eukaryota; Metazoa; Chordata; Mammalia; Rodentia; Sciuridae. The record is from RNAcentral.
GCUAGGCGUGGUGGCACACGCCUGAAAUCCUAGCAGCUGGGAGGCUGAGACAGGAGGAUUAUGAGUUCAAAACCAGCCUCAGCAACAGGGAGGCGCUAAGCAACUCAGUGAGACCCUGUCUCUA